Roseovarius nubinhibens ISM is the source of this 92-nucleotide regulatory RNA element. It matches the Rfam family "Rhodo-rpoB RNA". NCBI's taxonomy places the organism in Bacteria, Pseudomonadati, Pseudomonadota, Alphaproteobacteria, Rhodobacterales, Roseobacteraceae. The record is from Rfam.
CGAUCGGGAGGCACGUGGUGGGACACGCGCCGGGAAUAGAUCGAACCCGUUGUCUCUGAUGGGUGUGGUGCCGGGGCCCGACGGCAGCUGCA